RNAcentral lists this ribosomal RNA (253 nucleotides) under uncultured bacterium. RNAcentral describes it as "partial 16S ribosomal RNA". It matches the Rfam family "Bacterial small subunit ribosomal RNA", at positions 524 to 776 of the family's 1533-position model. The record is from RNAcentral.
UACGGAGGGUGCAAGCGUUGUUCGGAAUUACUGGGCGUAAAGAGCGUGUAGGCGGCCGAUCAAGUCCGGUGUGAAAGCCCGGGGCUUACCCCCGGAAGUGCGCUGGAAACUGAUUGGCUCGAGUAUGGGAGAGGGAAGUGGAAUUCCUGGUGUAGCGGUGAAAUGCGUAGAUAUCAGGAGGAACACCGGCGGCGAAGGCGGCUUCCUGGACCAAUACUGACGCUGAGACGCGAAAGCGUGGGGAGCAAACAGG